This 254-nucleotide ribosomal RNA is filed under the name uncultured bacterium. RNAcentral's name for it is "partial 16S ribosomal RNA". It matches the Rfam family "Bacterial small subunit ribosomal RNA", at positions 524 to 776 of the family's 1533-position model. The record is from RNAcentral.
UACGGGGGGAGCAAGCGUUGUUCGGAUUUACUGGGCGUAAAGGGCGCGUAGGCGGCCAGCACAAGUCAGUUGUGAAAUCUCCGAGCUUAACUCGGAAAGGUCAACUGAUACUGUGCGGCUAGAGUGCGGAAGGGGCAACUGGAAUUCUUGGUGUAGCGGUGAAAUGCGCAGAUAUCGGGAGGAACACCCGUAGCGAAGGCGGCACUCUGGGCCGGUACUGACGCUGAGGAGCGAAAGCGUGGGGAGCAAACAGG